RNAcentral lists this ribosomal RNA (505 nucleotides) under uncultured bacterium. Its description in RNAcentral is "bacterial SSU rRNA". It matches the Rfam family "Bacterial small subunit ribosomal RNA", at positions 355 to 875 of the family's 1533-position model. The record is from RNAcentral.
UGGGGAAUUUUCCGCAAUGGGCGAAAGCCUGACGGAGCAACGCCGCGUGAGGGAUGAAGGCCUCUGGGCUGUAAACCUCUUUUAUCAAGGAAGAAGAUCUGACGGUACUUGAUGAAUAAGCCACGGCUAAUUCCGUGCCAGCAGCCGCGGUAAUACGGGAGUGGCAAGCGUUAUCCGGAAUUAUUGGGCGUAAAGCGUCCGCAGGCGGCCCUUCAAGUCUGCUGUUAAAAAGUGGAGCUUAACUCCAUCAUGGCAGUGGAAACUGUUGGGCUUGAGUGUGGUAGGGGCAGAGGGAAUUCCCGGUGUAGCGGUGAAAUGCGUAGAUAUCGGGAAGAACACCAGUGGCGAAGGCGCUCUGCUGGGCCAUCACUGACGCUCAUGGACGAAAGCCAGGGGAGCGAAAGGGAUUAGAUACCCCUGUAGUCCUGGCCGUAAACGAUGAACACUAGGUGUCGGGGGAAUCGACCCCCUCGGUGUCGUAGCCAACGCGUUAAGUGUCCGCCUG